CCUACGGGAGGCAGCAGUGGGGAAUAUUGGGCAAUGGGCGCUAGCCUGACCCAGCAACGCCGCGUGAGCGAUGAAGGUCUUCGGAUUGUAAAGCUCUGUCGCAGGGGACGAAGUAUGACGGUACCCUGUAAGAAAGCCCCGGCAAAAUACGUGCCAGCAGCCGCGGUAAUACGUAGGAGGCGAGCGUUGUCCGGAAUUACUGGGCGUAAAGGGAGUGUAGACGGCUGGCCAAGUUAAGUGUGAAAGCCUGCGGCUUAACCGUAGAAUUGCACUUAAUACUGACUGGCUAGAGUGCAGUAGAGGUGAGUGGAAUGCCUAGUGUAGCGGUGGAAUGCGUAGAUAUUAGGAGGAACACCAGUUGCGAAGGCGGCUCACUGGACUGUAACUGACGUUGAGGCUCGAAAGCGUGGGGAGCAAACAGGAUUAGAUACCCGAGUAGUC
This 441-nucleotide ribosomal RNA is filed under the name uncultured bacterium. RNAcentral's name for it is "partial 16S ribosomal RNA". It matches the Rfam family "Bacterial small subunit ribosomal RNA", at positions 338 to 795 of the family's 1533-position model. The record is from RNAcentral.